Molecule: ribosomal RNA, 486 nt
Filed under: uncultured bacterium
Lineage: Bacteria
Description: bacterial SSU rRNA
Rfam family: Bacterial small subunit ribosomal RNA
Source: RNAcentral
GACGAACGCUGGCGGCGUGCCUAACACAUGCAAGUCGAACGAGAUCCAUGGGAGCUUGCUCCCGGAAGAUCUAGUGGCGAACGGGUGAGUAACACGUGAGAAACCUGCCCUGGAGUGGGGAAUAACUCGGGGAAACUCGAGCUAAUACCGCAUACCCUCGGAUGGUCGCAUGGCCGACCGAGGAAAGAUUUAUCGCUCUAGGAGGGUCUCGCGGCCUAUCAGCUAGUUGGUGGGGUAGCGGCCUACCAAGGCAACGACGGGUAGCUGGUUUGAGAGAACGAUCAGCCACACUGGGACUGAGACACGGCCCAGACUCCUACGGGAGGCAGCAGUGGGGAAUCUUGCGCAAUGGGCGAAAGCCUGACGCAGCAACGCCGCGUGCGGGAUGACGGCCUUCGUGGUUGUAAACCGCUUUCAGCAGGGACGAAAAUAGACGGUACCUGCAGAAGAAGACCCGGCUAACUACGUGCCAGCAGCCGCGGUAAU